RNAcentral lists this ribosomal RNA (253 nucleotides) under uncultured Eubacteriales bacterium. RNAcentral describes it as "uncultured Clostridiales bacterium partial 16S ribosomal RNA". It matches the Rfam family "Bacterial small subunit ribosomal RNA", at positions 524 to 776 of the family's 1533-position model. Lineage: Bacteria; Bacillati; Bacillota; Clostridia; Eubacteriales. The record is from RNAcentral.
UACGUAGGGGGCAAGCGUUAUCCGGAUUUACUGGGUGUAAAGGGAGCGUAGACGGCGAUGCAAGUCUGGAGUGAAAGCCCGGGGCUCAACCCCGGGACUGCUUUGGAAACUGCAUAGCUGGAGUGCUGGAGAGGUAAGCGGAAUUCCUGGUGUAGCGGUGAAAUGCGUAGAUAUCAGGAGGAACACCGGCGGCGAAGGCGGCUUACUGGACUGUAACUGACGUUGAGGCUCGAAGGCGUGGGGAGCAAACAGG